Molecule: ribosomal RNA, 2026 nt
Filed under: Streptococcus thermophilus 1F8CT
Lineage: Bacteria; Bacillati; Bacillota; Bacilli; Lactobacillales; Streptococcaceae
Description: bacterial LSU rRNA
Rfam family: Bacterial large subunit ribosomal RNA
Source: RNAcentral
GUGGACUUAAAGAUUAUAGAAGAACUACCUGGGAAGGUAGGCCAAAGAGAGUAAUAGCCUCGUAUUCGAAAUAGUCUUUAUACCUAGCAGUAUCCUGAGUACGGCGAGACACGAGAAAUCUCGUCGGAAUCUGGGAGGACCAUCUCCCAACCCUAAAUACUCUCUAGUGACCGAUAGUGAACCAGUACCGUGAGGGAAAGGUGAAAAGCACCCCGGGAGGGGAGUGAAAUAGAACCUGAAACCGUGUGCCUACAACAAGUUCGAGCCCGUUAAUGGGUGAGAGCGUGCCUUUUGUAGAAUGAACCGGCGAGUUACGAUAUGAUGCGAGGUUAAGUUGAAGAGACGGAGCCGUAGGGAAACCGAGUCUUAAUAGGGCGCAUUAGUAUCAUGUCGUAGACCCGAAACCAUGUGACCUACCCAUGAGCAGGUUGAAGGUGAGGUAAAACUCACUGGAGGACCGAACCAGGGCACGUUGAAAAGUGCUUGGAUGACUUGUGGGUAGCGGAGAAAUUCCAAACGAACUUGGAGAUAGCUGGUUCUCUCCGAAAUAGCUUUAGGGCUAGCGUCGAUGUUAAGUCUCUUGGAGGUAGAGCACUGUUUGGGUGAGGGGUCCAUCCCGGAUUACCAAUCUCAGAUAAACUCCGAAUGCCAAUGAGAUAUAAUCGGCAGUCAGACUGCGAGUGCUAAGAUCCGUAGUCGAAAGGGAAACAGCCCAGACCACCAGCUAAGGUCCCAAAAUAUAUGUUAAGUGGAAAAGGAUGUGGGGUUGCACAGACAACUAGGAUGUUAGCUUAGAAGCAGCUAUUCAUUCAAAGAGUGCGUAAUAGCUCACUAGUCGAGUGACCCUGCGCCGAAAAUGUACCGGGGCUAAAACAUAUUACCGAAGCUGUGGAUACCUUUAUAGGUAUGGUAGGAGAGCGUUCUAUGUGCGAAGAAGGUGUACCGUGAGGAGUGCUGGAGCGCAUAGAAGUGAGAAUGCCGGUAUGAGUAGCGAAAGACAGGUGAGAAUCCUGUCCACCGUAAGACUAAGGUUUCCAGGGGAAGGCUCGUCCGCCCUGGGUUAGUCGGGACCUAAGGAGAGACCGAAAGGUGUAUCCGAUGGACAACAGGUUGAUAUUCCUGUACUAGAGUAUAUAGUGAUGGAGGGACGCAGUAGGCUAACUAAACCAGACGAUUGGAAGUGUCUGGCCAAGCAGUGAGGUGUGAUAUGAGUCAAAUGCUUAUAUCUUUAACAUUGAGCUGUGAUGGGGAGCGAAGUUUAGUAGCGAAGUUAGUGAUGUCACACUGCCGAGAAAAGCUUCUAGCGUUAAUUAUACUCUACCCGUACCGCAAACCGACACAGGUAGUCGAGGCGAGUAGCCUCAGGUGAGCGAGAGAACUCUCGUUAAGGAACUCGGCAAAAUGGCCCCGUAACUUCGGGAGAAGGGGCGCUGACUGAUGGUCAGCCGCAGUGAAUAGGCCCAAGCAACUGUUUAUCAAAAACACAGCUCUCUGCUAAAUCGUAAGAUGAUGUAUAGGGGGUGACGCCUGCCCGGUGCUGGAAGGUUAAGAGGAGUGCUUAGCGUAAGCGAAGGCAUGAAUUGAAGCCCCAGUAAACGGCGGCCGUAACUAUAACGGUCCUAAGGUAGCGAAAUUCCUUGUCGGGUAAGUUCCGACCCGCACGAAAGGCGUAAUGAUUUGGGCACUGUCUCAACGAGAGACUCGGUGAAAUUUUAGUACCUGUGAAGAUGCAGGUUACCCGCGACAGGACGGAAAGACCCCAUGGAGCUUUACUGCAGUUUGAUAUUGAGUAUCUGUACCACAUGUACAGGAUAGGUAGGAGCCUAUGACCUCGGGACGCCAGUUUCGAGUGAGGCGUUGUUGGGAUACUACCCUUGUGUUAUGGCUACUCUAACCCAGAUAGGUUAUCCCUAUCGGAGACAGUGUCUGACGGGCAGUUUGACUGGGGCGGUCGCCUCCUAAAAGGUAACGGAGGCGCCCAAAGGUUCCCUCAGAAUGGUUGGAAAUCAUUCGCAGAGUGUAAAGG